UACGGAAGGCAGCAGUGGGGAAUAUUGCACAAUGGGCGAAAGCCUGAUGCAGCUAUGCCGCGUGUAUGAAGGAGGCCUUAGGGUUGUAAAGUACUUUCAUCGGGGAGGAAAAAACAAAACUAAUAAUUUUAUUUCUUGACGUUACCCGAAAAAGAAGCACCGGCUAACUCCGUGCCAGCAGCCGCGGUAAUACGGAGGGUGCUAGCGUUAAUCAGAAUUACUGGGCGUAAAGAGCACGUAGGUGGUUUUUUUAAAGUCAGAUGUGAAAUCCCUGGGCUUAACCUAGGAACUGCAUUUUGAAACUGAAAUACUAGAGUAUCGUAGAGGGAGGUAGAAUUCUAGGUGUAGCGGUGAAAUGCGUAGAUAUCUGGAGGAAUACCUGUGGCGAAAGCGGCCUCCUAAACGAAUACUGACACUGAGGGUGCGAAAGCGUGGGGAGCAAACGAGGGAUUAGAUACCCGU
This 462-nucleotide ribosomal RNA is filed under the name uncultured bacterium. RNAcentral describes it as "bacterial SSU rRNA". It matches the Rfam family "Bacterial small subunit ribosomal RNA", at positions 340 to 789 of the family's 1533-position model. The record is from RNAcentral.